Metopolophium dirhodum (rose-grain aphid) is the source of this 989-nucleotide long non-coding RNA. RefSeq lists it as uncharacterized. NCBI's taxonomy places the organism in Eukaryota, Metazoa, Arthropoda, Insecta, Hemiptera, Aphididae. The transcript has 3 exons. The record is from RefSeq and is a predicted model, not a curated record.
UUGCAAUCUGUGAUUUAUCAGAUAAGGGGAAGAGGUAUACAAGGUGGUAUACCAUCAACUAAACUAUUGUAUAAAGCAAUGGAAAUGAGUGAAAGGUUUGGAGAAGGAUGUCGUCUAGCCUUAUUGAAAGAACAUUUAGUUUUUGCCCUCGGUUAUAAAUAUUUUAAUCCAAGACCAAAUAUUGAAAUGCUUGAUUUAUCUUCACAACCACUCAAAUGGAAAUCAACUGACAUGGUGUCCUUCAAACUUAUUUUAGAUUUGUUUGUCGUAGAUGAUCGUGUAUAUGCUAUUGACGGUGCACUUGGUUUUGAUUAUUCAAAUGGUGCAGAGGUUUUUAACAGGAGUAUUCAAGAAUGGUGAUUAAUAUCUAAUAUGUCUACUGAGAGAGGGGACCCUGGUUUGAAUGCUAUAAUCCCAGCCUUGACACGUGGACACCAGUCACACAAAUGUCUAUAAAACGCCGAGCCCCUGUUAUAGGAGUCUUAGACGGUGUAAUGUAUGCUAUUGGUGGUGCCUGUCAGGAACUCGGAAGUUCAGUGUAUCUUAAAAGUGUCGAGACCUAUUCACCAAUUGCUAAAGUUUUGUCUCCUAUCUAAGAUAUGCACUUGUCCAGAUUCAAUUCAAGUGUUGUGACAUUUAAGGGUUUGUUGUAUGUUAUUGGCGGAUCUGAUGAAUUUUUGGAUUCCGUAGAAAUCUAUGACACUAAAACCAAUACCUGGAUCUUGGAACCAUGGCCGAAAAGUUUAGUGAAUGUUUAUGGGGCAGUAAUAUUUGAUAUGCCAUCACAUUUGAGAACAUAUUAGCUUAUACAUGGUCUCCUUGUUGGUUGUUGUAUAAUAUAUUAUAUUCAUAUUAAUUUAUAAUUCAUGAACACGUGUUAAGUAUUUUAUACAUUUUUGAUUUUGUGAAUUUUGUAAUAAGCCACUUUGAUCGCCACUGGACGUCAAAGUUUUAAUAUAAGUUUUAGCUUAUUAUAAUUAAUUUGUUUA